This is a small nuclear RNA of Myodes glareolus (Bank vole), 160 nucleotides long. RefSeq annotates it as U1 spliceosomal RNA. Lineage: Eukaryota; Metazoa; Chordata; Mammalia; Rodentia; Cricetidae. The record is from RefSeq and is a predicted model, not a curated record.
CUACUUUCCUGACAGGGGAGACACCUUGAUCAUUAAGGUAGUUUUCUCAGCGAGGCUUGUCCACUGCACCCGGGAUGUGCUGACCCCUGCCAUUUCCCCAGAUGUGGGAAACUUCACUAUAAUUUGUUGGAGUGAGAGGAGUAUUUGUACUCACCACUUC